GACGAACGCUGGCGGCGUGCCUAAUACAUGCAAGUCGAACGAGAGCGCCCGGUGCUUGCGCUGGUCAAUCUAGUGGCGAACGGGUGAGUAACACGUGGGUAACCUGCCCAUCAGAGGGGGAUAACAUCCGGAAACGGCUGCUAAAACCGCAUAGGUCUUCGAGCCGCAUGGCUCGAAGAGGAAAAGAGGCGCAAGCUUCUGCUGAUGGAUGGACCCGCGGUGCAUUAGCUAGUUGGUGAGGUAACGGCUCACCAAGGCCAUGAUGCAUAGCCGACCUGAGAGGGUGAUCGGCCACAUUGGAACUGAGACACGGCCCAAACUCCUACGGGAGGCAGCAGUAGGGAAUCUUCCGCAAUGGACGCAAGUCUGACGGAGCAACGCCGCGUGAGUGAAGAAGGUUUUCGGAUCGUAAAGCUCUGUUGUUAGAGAAGAACAAGUGCUAGAGUAACUGUUAGCGCCUUGACGGUAUCUAACCAGAAAGCCACGGCUAACUACGUG
RNAcentral lists this ribosomal RNA (498 nucleotides) under uncultured bacterium. Its description in RNAcentral is "partial 16S ribosomal RNA". It matches the Rfam family "Bacterial small subunit ribosomal RNA", at positions 28 to 507 of the family's 1533-position model. The record is from RNAcentral.